Triticum aestivum (bread wheat) is the source of this 5761-nucleotide long non-coding RNA. RefSeq lists it as uncharacterized. The record is from RefSeq and is a predicted model, not a curated record. NCBI's taxonomy places the organism in Eukaryota, Viridiplantae, Streptophyta, Magnoliopsida, Poales, Poaceae. The transcript is spliced from 5 exons.
GAGUGCAUAACAGUACCAUGCCCCCUGUGUUCCAAAUUGGAUCAGGAAAAGCGGUCUUUCCGGGCAAUGAUUCAAUCCAAAAGGCAAGAGCUAUUUUAGGAGUACUUUUCAGGAAGGCAAUAUCCCUUUUACUGGUCGGUGGACUAAAAUUUCCCAGUGGGGUUCUCCGAUUUAACUCUUUCUAAAACCUGUUUUUUAGAAGCUAUGAAAAAGGAGAAUAACCUUCCACUUGUCAUGUACAUGCUCUUAAGGUCUUCUAUCUUCUAUGUAAAAGCAUCACAAAAUUACCCAGUCUAUCAUUUAGUGAGGGAUGUUCCAAGUUAUACAACACUGUCACACUUCAGUGUGGUGAAAAAAAUUACUACACAAAUAAACUGGAUCUUUACAACUUUGGCAUCGUCCUGUGGAAGUUGCUGACCAAUAAAAUGCCAUUAGAAGGCAUGUUGAAUUUUCAAGCUGCAUAUAUAUGCUGCUGCUUUUAAAGUAAGUAGACUAUCAUUUUGCUAUGGAAUGAUGCCACUUCCUAGAAUGUUGUCUGCACCUAAUUACCGAGGUACUCAACCAUAAUGUUGUAGGAACCACUAUUUUCUUGUGAGUUUCAAGUUGAUAUUUGAAUCUGUCUUUUUCUUGUAACUGAAAUCAGUUGCUCGUAUUUCUUCAUACUGUUUAGCAUCCUGCCGAUGUGAUCUGUUGCAUACCUAAAAUGUAUCAAUACAUUUUUUGUGAUUUGAAUAAUCAACAUGGAAUCUUGUUGUACUUCUUUUAUGAGGUCUGAGGGAGAUUGUCGAUACCUUUCAGCUUUGCCGGUAUUUCACUUUACAUCCUUGUAUAAUUGAAGCUCCGAAGUGAAAUAGUAUUCAGAUUGCGAGCUGUUGAGAAAGUGCUGCUAUCAGGGGAUCUGGGUUAUCCUAAGAACUUUGCAGGGGUGGAAUAACUACAUCAUAGAAGAGAUAAUUGAACUUAUUAGUGGAUCAUAAGCAUCAUGUAAAUAAAAAAGUUUGGCAUGUAGAUUCAGCUGGUAGAUUUCAUACGCAAAUUAAUCCCAUUAUAACAAACCAUUUUAUGUGAAGGUUACAUUAGGUUAAGUUUCCAUCCAUAUUACUGUUUUGUAGAUUUUGCAGUUUACAACCAGCUAAGAGUCAAGAAUGUACUGAUGAUGCAUUGCAAUUAAAACAUUACGUAUAUGAAAAUUUGGCUCCAUUCUUUUCCUAAAUAGAUUGUUAAAACAAAAUUUGUGAAUGAUGACUGCUUUAAUAACAAUCGCAAAUAAUCGCAAAUAUAAUUUUAUUCUUCAAUUAAAUCUGCCCUCUUACAUUGCGGUUCUGGAAUUGAUUACUUAUGUUACCAUAGAAAUUUUCUUGAAUUGUUUAUUCAUGAGGGGAUUAACUCUACCCCAUCAUACAAACUUCUACGUUGAGUUAGAAGGGUUGUCUACUUGAACAUGUUCCUGAUCCCCACUUUCAUGAUACAAGUGUGUACUGUAAACUUUAAUAUUGCUAAUUGCUAGCUUUAUUGGUGUACAUAAACUGAUCACUGAUUUCUUAGCACCUACUAACCUAAUGCAGAAUUUCCUUUUGCUGCCAGAGUUAGCGCUUUCCAGUAUCCACUGAACUUCUGUCGAAAUCUCAAUGAAAUAGUCGUGUUUUCUACGUUUCCACAUGACAAAAUCAGCUUACCAUUGAGCCUGAGUAGGCAGAAAGUCUCAGGGAACAUCAAGAUGUCGCUGGCCGAUGCGUAGUUGCUGCACAAUAUGAUACCAUAGGUGUUUGAGGUGACGUGCCACGGUGGCAUCGGUGAUUCAUACUCCCUCUGUCUGGAAAUACUUGUCGAAGAAAUGCAUAAAAGUGAAUAUAUCUAGAACUAAAAUACAUCUAGAUACAUUCAUUCCUCCGACGAGUAUUUCCGGACGGAGGGAGUAUAUUCUAGGGCAUGGCUGGUAGUGACAUCUCUGCUACUCUAAUGGUGUUCUUCAUAGUAAAUAUACAGGUUCAUUAGUCCACAUAAGUACUUCGUAGUAAAGGUUCCAGAACUUGUGGGUGAUGACGCCUGUGCAAGGGCACAAGAUGCAAAUUCAUGUGAAUAAUUUGACUCAAUAAAGAGAUGCAAUUAAUGUUUGCAAGAAAAAAAGUAACAGACCGCCAAACGUUCAUAUCUCCCUUUCUUUCCUUAGCAUGUUUCUUACUUUUGGAUUUAUAUAUUGUCGGCUCAUAAGAUGAUUGGUCUAGAUAGUGGAUGCUCAAUGAUUCUACAGUUGAGUCAAGCAAAUUCAGUUGAAGAAAUUAAGGAGUUUGUAAUAAUUUUGCGCAGAUCAUGACUCGUGAGGAAAGAGAAUACUAUGGAACAUGAGACCAUUUUUUUUAAUGAAGAGUAGCUUUUUCCGUUGAAGAGAUUAAUGAAAUGAAUGCCCAAAGGAAGCAAGUGUGUACCAAUAUGGGCUCAAUGGCUGAAACCAGUGAAGCAUUCCAUCAAAAGGGACAUGUUAUUUUCUGUUUUGAAUUUCAUCAAGUUUCAUGCUGACCCAUGUUCUCUUUUCUAGACUUUGAAGAAGGGAGUUGGUUUACUUUUCAAAAAUUUGGAAUCCCUUGAUGAGAAUAGAUGAAUGGUUUAAAUCUUGUGAGGAUGAGAGAAUUUCUGGGAAAAUGAAAUGGUGAAUUGUAUGCUGCUAAUGGAAUAUGUCAACAGGCCUAUGAGAAUUGGAUUGAGCUGAGAGCGGAACCAGGUAAAAAGGUAAGAAACUUCUUGUAUUCAAGGGCCGCUUGUAGUGUUCAAUCUGUAGUGCAAUGUUUUAAUGCUAAAUAAAGAAGGCCGGCAUGGUGUUAUUAGAUUAUUCUUUGCCAAGUUUUACACCACCAACGGAGCCUUAUUGUCCGGUUAAAAAAUAAGAAAGCACAGAUACUAGAUAAACCGGAGUGAGAACCUAUGUAGUGUUCGUUCCAAACAUGAGUAAUUACGCUGAUUAAUAGAUUGACUUUACAUUUUUUACCCUAAAAACACUAAUUCAUGGCCCUACUAUAUUUUUUAUUGCAUCAAGAAAACAAAAGAAUUAUACAAAAAACGAAAAGGAAAAGGUUUGAGGAUAACAAAGCAAAAAAGGGCAGCCUGGUGAAUGUAGCUCCCGCUUGCACAGGGUCCGAGGAAAGGUCCGACCACAUUGGGUCUAUAGUAUGCAGCCUUUUCCUACAUUUCUUUAAGAGGUUAUUUUUAGGACUUGACCCCGUGGGCAGCAGCUUUACCGCUGCGACAAGGCUCCCCUUCUUAGGAAAACAAAGCAAAACAAAACAAAAAAGGAAGGAUAAGAAAAAUAGAAUCUACAUAUGGUGAUUGACUUUAUGCCAGCUAAAAAAUAAAUAUUUAUUUAGUGUCAUGAUUUCAUAAGUUUAUAAAGUGUGCAACCUGUCCUUGCUAUCUAUCACGAUGAGGGGAAGCCUGACUCGUCUGUUUCCCACUGCAUGCACACCUGCCCUGAUGCAGCCCAAGACAUCUGUAACCCCUCGCCCCAAGUGCUGCCAAUUGAUUGGGAAGCCUGACGAUGGGGUUUGGAUGUGUCUACUGUGAAUAAAAAGGCUAAUGGUGAUCCAAAAAUGCUACACUUACGGCUAGCAUUGCACGGUUUGCUAAUACGGACUCUCUCCCCACCAAUCUCUGUGUCCCCUGAUUUUCACUGUGGGGUCCUCCUCAUUCCAACUUCCAACCAAAUAUGGACACAUGUUCCCGUAACAACAAUCCCGUAUGAGUUGAGCAUAAGUGUAGCAUCGCUGAUGGUGAUCAAAAGGAUCCGUAGCAGUAACGUGCUGGCGCUAGCACACAUUUAUUUUUUGUCUGUUAAUUAAUUAAUUUCCCGACAGCUAUUUCUGAAUUUUGUCAAUAAAAAUAACCUAUUUGAUUAGAACUUUUUUAGCAUUUGCCCCCCCCCCCCACAGUUGAUUUUUUGGCUAGCUCCGGCACUGUUGCCGCCCUUGUCUACAGUGUUGAUCAUUGGCUCACUUGGAACAAGAGUUAGCGGAUUUUGUGAUAAAAGUGAGGGUUGAGAGUGAGCGGUAUGCGGGUUGGGUUAGUAUGUUAAAUUACGGCUGUCUGGGGCGAGUAAUUUCCAUACAUUAAUUUUUUUUGGCAAAUUGCAUUUCACUACAGAUGACUUUGUAGCAAAUUGCAUGAGCGAGCGAUUCAUUUUUUGCAUCGUUCAAUUUUUUAGUUAGAAGGGUAAAUGUAUUGGUUGGUUCAAGAGUUAAUAACGGAAACAGUGGCAUAUACAUCAUAUUUUUGUUUCCUGUUAAUGCACAAUUCAACUAUUUACGUUACAACAUGGCAAUGGCUGAGGCGACAUCGGUUCUGCCUUCUUGGCUUGGGGAUGUCACGGGCAGCGCACGUCUCGUCCUCCUUGAUGGUGGUGAUGGAUCGACAUGAACACGAGGGGAGGGGAUCAGGCAACAGCAGGUUGGUUGGUGGGACUCCUCUUUGGCUGUCCGCGGGGAAGUAUGAUGGAAGGGAGAGAGGGCGUCAUGGCGAAGGUGAGGUGGACAUCAUCCGUUUUGAAAGGAGGGGGCUCCAGUGAAAAAUGUCCCGCUACGAGAGAAAACCAGGAAGGGAAGGGUCCAGCAAGAAAAAGGAAGGGUACGUCGUGGGUGAUACAUUUUUGGACCACGUGUUGGAGAUAACAUGGUGCAUAGUCCGAACAAACCACGUUUUCCCCCAGAUUGCCAGAGGGUUGAAUUUUGGGGAGCUUGCUGGAGGCCCAUUUGAUUUUCGAACAUGGCGGAUGAUGAGGAAGAAAUGAGCAUCGACCUUACAAAUGACCAAACUAUUUAAUUGAUUUACUUGUACAUAUUCUAGCCCGUGGCAACGCACGGGCAAUUUACUAGUAGUAUUAGUGAGUUUUACGUACUUCCCUAAAUCCAAGUUCACGACACUAUAGUUGCAAGUAUUAAAGAGCUACCUUUAUGUUCAGUUUAGUUUUAUAGGAAAGAAACUCAAUUUACGUGCAAGGUGACUAGUCUUCAGAAACUCAUCGGUCCCAUUUAAUCGACUUUUUGGAAUGUGACGAACUAACAUAUUCCACAUUAUUUGCAGUGAUAGGAUGGUCCAACAAGUGACAUAUUAAUUUACUUAUAUCCAGAAACUAACGGUGUAGGUUUGCUGCUUUCCAACAGUUCUGACUUUUCAAGAUUGCAGGGAGCAUUCUUUGUACUUCAACUUUUUGUUAGGAUGUAAUGCAUACAAUCAAUCUCUCUGCAAAUUACAGUGGUAUAGACUCCAGAGUGUAGUUAUUUGAGUGGAAACUCUCUCCAUACCAUGUUAACCCGUGUUAUGCAAGUCAGUAUUCCACUUAAAUUCUACGGUAAAACCAGCGUCGUAACAUUGCAGGUACCUAAAAGAUACAGUACUAACGUAGGAACAGAUGUUAACUGAUCCAACGAUGUGGAACAGCUUUGUACUCUUCUUUCCUGAUGUGCUCUUUUGUAGAGAUAGCACGCUGACUAGACUUUCCAGGGAAUCAUCAACAUAUUUCCCCAAGGGUGUCACAGAACUGUAGAGCGUAGAGCGUUCAUCCAAGAGAUUUUCAAUCAAUAGUGCAUAUGUGCAGGUUAGAAUCAGCAAAACAAGUGUAGAUCCCAACAAAAACUGACUUUUCAGUCGAACAGAGCACUAGCAACAACAACCAUGUAGGCCAUAUAAGGAAAAAAUAAACACCAACCAUGUAUCAGAGUUUGUUACUGUAACUUAUUUUGCAGCUUCUGCAAAUCCAAUGAUUGUGAUGUUUGUA